RNAcentral lists this long non-coding RNA (1462 nucleotides) under Fragaria vesca (wild strawberry). Its description in RNAcentral is "long non-coding RNA (FVES_LNC004884)". The record is from RNAcentral. Lineage: Eukaryota; Viridiplantae; Streptophyta; Magnoliopsida; Rosales; Rosaceae.
GUAUUUCAGUUAUUCCAAUCAAAUCUUAUUUCAUGAAAUUUUUGAAAUUUUUGCUUUCUCUGUAUAGUUGGUUGACAAAGUUGUACAUGUGAAUAUAACAUAUUAAACAAGUUAUAACACAUUAGUAGGCAUGUUGCAAUUCUAAUGAUUAAAAUUCACAGAAUGAAAAUUUGACCGUUUGAUGUGAUCAUUAUAGUGAAACAUGGCUAUGGUAUUAAUUUCAAUUGUAUUCGGCAACGUUCGGGGCUCAAUCGAAGUGGUCAACCCUAAUUCAUCGUCAUUUAUCACACGGAAACGCUCUUACCUACCUUUUUGUGACCUGGUUUGAUCGAUCCUUCCACACGUUAAACUCUCACAUAGAUGAGACGUAACCACCCAUGUAAAAAUUUGGAGACGUUUACGUCCCGACGAUAGGGCUCUCAUAGGAUAUAUUAAGCGUAAAAAUGGUUGACCGCUUCUAUCGGGACCUAGACGUUACCCGAUGUACGUGAUUUUUCAACCAUUAUCGUAUUUCAUUAUUUCGAUCACAUCUUAUUCCAUGAGUUUUUUUUAAAAUUUUUCUUUCUCUGUAUAGUUGGUUCACAAUGUUUUACACUUACAUAUAACCUAUUAAAUAUGUUAUAUCACAUUAGUAGGCACGUUGCAAUUCUAAUGACUAAAAUUUACAGAAUGAAAAUUCGAUCGUCUGAUGUGAUCAUUAUAGUGAAACAUGGCUAUGGUAUUAAAUUAAACUGUAUUCGGCAACGUUCGGGGCUCGAUCAAAGCGGUCAACCCUACUCCAUCGUCACUUAUCACACGGAAACGCUCUUAACUGCCUCUCUGUGACCAAAUUUGGUCGAUCCUUCCACACGUUAAACUCUCACAUAGAUGUAACGUAAUUACCCAUGUAAAAAUUUGGAGACGUUUACGUCCCGACGAUAGGGCUCCAUAGGUUAUAUUAAGCGUAAAAAUGGUUGACCGCUUCUAUCGGGACCCAGACGUUACCCGAUAUACGUGAUUUUUCAACCAUAGUCGUAUUUCAUUGUUCCGAUCACAUCUUAUUUCACAAAAAUUUUGAAAAUUUUGCUUUCUUUGUAUAAUUGGUUCACAAAGCUGUACACUUGCAUAUAUCAUACUAAAUAAGUUAUACCACAUUAGUAGGCAUGUGACUCUCCGAAGUUAUAAAUAUGUGAAAAUAAAAAUUCAACCGUUUGAUAUAGUCAUGGUAAUUAAACAGGUCUACUGAAAAAAAUCCAUCUCGUUUCGAAUACGUUAGGCCACCCAUUGAAUCGGUCAACUUAGUUCAACAUCAUUUUUUACACGAAACACGGUUAACUGACAUUGUGUGAAACCCUCUUUUUUCCUGUUUUCGAUCCUAAAACUCGUAUAUAUGAGAUUCAGGAAUCAAAGAAAUAUUUUUGUUAAAUUGGCCAUCAAGUGGUUAGGCUCUUAAAAACGCCUAAGCGUAACAAGGUUGACUAAU